This 257-nucleotide ribosomal RNA is filed under the name uncultured Scutellospora. RNAcentral's name for it is "partial 18S ribosomal RNA". It matches the Rfam family "Eukaryotic small subunit ribosomal RNA", at positions 624 to 886 of the family's 1831-position model. The record is from RNAcentral. Lineage: Eukaryota; Fungi; Glomeromycota; Glomeromycetes; Diversisporales; Gigasporaceae.
AAGCUCGUAGUUGAAUUUCGGGGUUCUACCGUUGGUCGGGCUAACCAGUCUGUACUAGCGUGUAGAAUUCUUACCUUCUGGGGAACCAUCAUGUCAUUAAUCUAGCGUGGUGGGAAACCAGGACCUUUACCUUGAAAAAAUUAGAGUGUUCAAAGCAGGCUUACGUCUGAAUACAUUAGCAUGGAAUAAUAAAAUAGGACGGUGGUCCUGUUUUGUUGGUUUCUGAAUCACCGUAAUGAUUAAUAGGGAUAGUUGGG